This 881-nucleotide long non-coding RNA is filed under the name Manihot esculenta (cassava). Its description in RNAcentral is "long non-coding RNA (MESC_LNC008073)". Lineage: Eukaryota; Viridiplantae; Streptophyta; Magnoliopsida; Malpighiales; Euphorbiaceae. The record is from RNAcentral.
GCCGGCUUCAUGCAUCAGCUUGGAGGUUUUCCUUUACCCCUUCGAGGGAGGGAAACCUUCUUCCCCCCAGCUGUGGGUUGGCCUUUCUCUGUCGGGUAGAGGUGUAAAUAUGGUUUUGAUUGUCUUUGGUAGCAACAAUGCUUAGUGGAGGCUUGUUUAUAGCUAUUGGUUUCUUUGUUUUUGGUUUUUCAGAUCUGGAGGGCUUUCGCAUGUUGGGAUUCAGAGGUUCUGGUUGUGGUGGGAGUGAGGAGGUGGAUGGAGGAGCAGUAAAUCAAAGAUGUCAAGUCUGCCAUGCACCCCUUUGCUUCUUCCCACGGUCUCAGUUGUUUCUGGGGGCUCUCCAUCUCGGCCAUGUGGGGGUUUAUUGGCUCAAUUGAUGAAGAGGUUUCAUCCCUUCUGCCUCUAGCGUCAGGCGCUCACUACCAUCACUGGAUCUGCAGGUUCAUGUGGUCUCCUUGAUGUUUAGUCUGCUCGUUUUUACUUCUGAGUAACUCCGAUUGUGGUUGCUUGAGAGCGGUCGGGCUGUCCUUUAGGUUUUCAAUAUGAGAACUAUGGCUUGGGCUUCUUUUUGAGGGAGUACUCUUUCCUAUCCUCUUUCGAUCAGCAAUGCCAGCAUGAUGCUCAUCGAGGUCAAGCAGUGCAUUUUCAGAUUUCGGGUCAAGAUUCUUUAUUGAUCUAAGGUUUUGCUUUCUGUGUUCUUUUUUCUUGAUCUCUAGAAACUUAGGCUUAGUUCUGUAUUAUAGAAGUAACCUUAUUUUGUAAUUUGGGCCUGAUAGCUUUUCUAAUGAAUUUGCCCUUUUUUACAAGAAAAAAAGCUUUUACGUACCGUUUUCAUAUUUGAAAUGUAGGCUUCAACUUACUAAAUGCUGCUUCAAAAUCCG